This 2575-nucleotide long non-coding RNA is filed under the name Pan troglodytes (chimpanzee). RNAcentral's name for it is "lincRNA". Lineage: Eukaryota; Metazoa; Chordata; Mammalia; Primates; Hominidae. The record is from RNAcentral.
CCCUGCUCAACAGCGUGCUCCUGGUGGUACUGCCACCCGUAACGGGUACUGGCUUUGCUAACAUCCUGACGAGACGUCGGGGAGAGACGGGAAGUGGCAGGUUGGGCAAGAUAGAGGAGGAAAGGACUCUACCUCAUGGCUUGUCCAGAAGAGGGCAGGGCCACCCCUGCAGCCAGGCCUCCCGGGCCCUGGAGGUAGGAGGGGGACGAUGGCCUCUAAGAGCACUCUGAGACCAGGAGCCUGUUCUCUCGGGCCUGAAGGCUUCGCUUCCACUGUUCUGCGCUGCCGCCCUGGCCUGGCCACCUCCCCUCCACUGUGUGGCUGGCUCUUCUCUGCCUUCUGCUACCUGAUGGGAUCUCCCACUCGCCUCCACGAGGAUCUGAGAGGAAAGGGUGCUGAGGAGAGGAGCGUGGAGUGGGCAGGCUCUUGAUGCCAAGCCAAGAAUCUGCAUGGCUCAUUUGAAACUUCGCAGUGCCCUUUAUCCCUUGUUCUCUUUUAUGUAUAAGCUCAUCUUUCUCCCAUACAGUUGUAAACCCCAAAGGGUAGGGACUGUAUUCGGUUCCUUAUUUAUAUCGUGUAAGACAGUGACUCUCAAACUCAUCAGAAUCACCUGGGGAGUUUUAAAAACUUGAUUCCUCCAGAAACCAUAAAGACCAAAGAUUUAAAAAUAUCACCAUAUUAAAACAGAAUGAAGCAAAAUCCUUCUGUAAAGCUAAGAAAUUAUAAGCAAGGGGAAAACAGUAUUUGGAAUAUAGAUGGAAGACACACUAAUUUCUUUAAUUUGCAACAAAUGUCUAUAAAUAAGAAAUAUACAAACAACUCAAUAAAUGCUGGGCCAGGAAUCUGAACUGGCAGAACAUGGAAAAGAAAUACCAGUGACCAAGAAACAUAUGAAGAGCUGCUCAUCCUUCCUCAGAAAUAAAGAGACGCAAAUCAGAACAAUGCCAGACCACUUUUCAUGAAUCUGAUUAGCAAAAAUUAUAAAGUUUCAUGAUGCCCAUUGCUGAUGAGAGUAUGGAAGCAGAUGCCAGUGAAUGCAAACUUGGUGGAUUUUGGCACCUGUGUGACAAGGUGGGGCAGUGGUUCUCACACCUGCAUGAGCUUCUGAAUCACAUGAUGAACUUUUAAAAACAUAGAUUCUCUGCGCCCCCAUCCCAUACGGCACCCACGUGUAACUAAGGGCACAAUUUGUGAAGUUCGAAAUGGUAAUAGAGACCAGACUAGUAAAUUUCAACUAAAGGAAUUUUGUCAACAUACAUCAACAUUUUUAAAACAUGAGUAACCUUUGACCCAGCAAUUCUACUGAUGGGAGCUGAUUCUGAAAUUUCCCACACAAGAGUAUCAACGUCGGCAAGAAUGGAUGCCCACAGCAGCGUUAUUUGUAUAGCAAACAACCUCAAUGUCCAUCAAUAGGAACCUGGAUAAAUAAACUGUGGCACAUUCUUAGAUCUUUUAAAGAGAUUUAGUAGGAACUCCAUUUGCUGAUAUAGAGCAGUCUCUGAGUUAUGUUGUGCAAUGAAAAAAUCAAGCAGCAGAGCAGUAUAAAUGGUGUAAUCCAUUUUCCACAUAACUUUUAAAAUGACACACCAUAUACUUUGGUAAAUGCACAAAUUCUUUUUCAAUGGAAAAUCUACAAGAAGCUGAUAACAGUGGCAACUUUGAGGGAAGGAUGAGAAGAGAGGUUCUUACCUUUCAUUCAGUACUGCUUGAUUUUCCUACUUUGUGCAUUGAUUAGUUUUAGUGGAGAACUUCAGUAAGUGUCAUCUGAAAGGUGGAGUUAUGGGACAAUUUUGGUUUCUCCUUUAGAGUUUUCUGUAAAGGAUAUUCAAUAAUUGAAGAUUCUCAGGCCAUAUACCAGAUACACUAAGUUUGGGUGGAGAUGCUGGCAUGGGACUCUAGAAAUCAGCUUGUCGUGUGAUUCUGCUCAUCAGUCAGGUUUGAGACUCACUGCAGAAGAUUCUGGAAGAAAGAUGCUCUCUUCUCUAGCUCAGGGGUUAUGAGGAUGAGAGGGUGGGGUGGCGGCUGCAGCCCUUUUGUUUCCAUGAAAGGAGAACCUGAAUGACCUUGUGCAACCUAAGGUCAAAGAAAUGCAUGGCUGGCAAGUAAACCACAGAGAGGAACUUGUCCCCUGGUACAUCAGUAGGCCACAGAAUCAUGCCUUUCCCGAAGAAGGACGUCCUGCGUCUAGACUUUUCAGUUAUGGAGCCAAUACAUCCUCUUUUUUGUUUAAUGCAGCUUGAGUUAGGUCUUUUGUCACAUGCAAUAUUAAGAAUCCUAACUGAUAGACCUCCACUGAGACAAGCUGAGUAUGUCUUUAUCUCUUGCAGACUGAAAUUGCCUAAUUCAUAAAGUAUUUCAUGAUGUUUGCAAGAUAAACCCUUGUCUGGUGCCUUGGGCUACAUCUGAUGAUUGCCUGCAAUAUUUCUGCCUCUAGAAAUGAACUGUCAAACCAAGAAGUAUGUCCUUGGAAUGCAUCCUCCACAUUAGCAAAAGAAUUAUGUGUUUUGUUUGCUCUUCAUCAUGUAACUCUUGAAUAAAUUUGGAUGCAACAGAUAAAGGGCAUAACCAGGAAAUA